AUGAACGCUGGCGGCAUGGAUUAGGCAUGCAAGUCGAACGGUGAGAUCCCCGCAAGGGGGUCGAUCAGUGGCGAAAGGGUGAGUAACGCGUGAGUAACCUGCCUCCGAGUUGGGCAUAGCCCCGGGAAACUGGGAUUAAUACCUGAUGAAGUCCUCGACCGCAUGGUCGGGUGACAAAAGGCGCAAGCCGCUCGGAGAGGGACUCGCGUCCCAUUAGCUAGUUGGUAGGGUAACGGCCUACCAAGGCUUUGACGGGUAGCUGGUCUGAGAGGAUGGUCAGCCACACUGGGACUGAGACACUGCCCAGACUCCUACGGGAGGCUGCAGUCGAGAAUCUUCCGCAAUGGGCGCAAGCCUGACGGAGCGAUGCCGCGUGAGGGAUGAAGGCCUUCGGGUUGUAAACCUCUGUCACCCGGGACGAAGUCAGUGACGGUACCGGGAGAGGAAGCCACGGCUAACUACGU
This 464-nucleotide ribosomal RNA is filed under the name uncultured bacterium. RNAcentral describes it as "partial 16S ribosomal RNA". It matches the Rfam family "Bacterial small subunit ribosomal RNA", at positions 29 to 506 of the family's 1533-position model. The record is from RNAcentral.